RNAcentral lists this ribosomal RNA (228 nucleotides) under uncultured bacterium. RNAcentral's name for it is "partial 16S ribosomal RNA". It matches the Rfam family "Bacterial small subunit ribosomal RNA", at positions 568 to 795 of the family's 1533-position model. The record is from RNAcentral.
UGCGUAGGUGGUUCUGUAUGUCGGAUGUGAAAUCCCGAGGCUCAACUUCGGAACUGCGUCCGAAACUGCAGAACUUGAGUGCAGGAGGGGAGAGCGGAAUUCUUGGUGUAGCGGUGAAAUGCGUUGAUAUCAAGAAGAACACCGGUGGCGAAGGCGGCUCUCUGGAAUGUUACUGACACUGAGGCACGAAAGCUGGGGGAGCAAACAGGAUUAGAUACCCUGGUAGUC